Hyaena hyaena (striped hyena) is the source of this 496-nucleotide long non-coding RNA. RefSeq lists it as uncharacterized. Lineage: Eukaryota; Metazoa; Chordata; Mammalia; Carnivora; Hyaenidae. The record is from RefSeq and is a predicted model, not a curated record. The transcript has 2 exons.
UGACAGAAAGGGAAGGGUCAGGAAUGGCUCCACAAGGUGGGGCCUGAGCGAGUGCAAGGGUGGGGUUCCUGUCAACUAAAAUAUGAAAAAGUGGGAUUUGAGGAGGAAGAUCAAGAGCUGAGCUUGAACCAAGUUUGAGACGCUUGUUAGACACCCAAGUGGAGAUGCCAGAGAGCCUGCCUUUAGGAAAGCCCUGCCUUCAUCAGUAAAGGGUGAGAAGUCUCCAGCUCUGCAGAACAGCUAACAGAUAAAUAUUUAAUAGGAAAGAGCACUGGGCUGAAAGUCAGGGCAACAUUCUGCCUAGUCAGCAGCCCUCACCUUUGCCCCUGCACCAUCCCCUUUAAACACACCCAUCUGCAGGCUCAACUCAGUCUGACCUCUAGGGCCAGUCCUGUCCACAGCCCAGUGGGUAGAGCCCAAUACUAACUUCCUUUUCUGGCCCCUGCCUUGAAUGCUCUUGCUUUACUCUCUAUAAUGAACCCCAUAUUUCACCUGA